UAGUUGUGGGGAAACUUAUGGUGGGAGGUGGUGAGGAGUGAGAGGCCCUUCUCUUCCUAUCAGCCAUCUGGUCACCCUACAUAAGAGAAACUAACUUGGAAACUAGAUACUGGACAUGUACAAGAAUGAGGAACUCGAAUACGAGCUUGGAUCAAAAUCUGAGUUCUGUGCGUGAUGAGAGACGUCUAAAUAAAGAUUUUAUCCCCUGCGGAAUUUUUCAAAUAAUUUAUUGCCGUUAAUUACUGGAACAGGGAUCAAAUCUUGACCGUUGGACUACCAAAAGUCGACUAAACGUUGUACCUAGUAAUUCAUCUGUUUGAUUGAUAUUUUUUGUAAGUCUCAUUCUUCAUGAUCGUUAAACCAGUGAAUAGUUUUAAGAAUAAUCAUAAUUGAAGUGAUCUAGUCAAGUGUUUUUAUUCUUAGGCCAAAAAUAACGAAAAUAAUGCGUAGAGAUAGAGAAUGGUCUCUCAAAGCACGAAUAUUCUCGUCCACAUAUUAAGAAAUUUUCUAAUUUUUAUCGCAAAACCUCGAAUUCUAUAGUGUGACUUGCACUUGUACAUUGAAAUAUAAUAAUCACAUCAUCAGUUCAUUAUCAAGCGAAUCCAUUGUCUUGUAAACUGUAGAAAAAGUAGAUCAAGUAAUUUUUAAUCGAAUAUAGCAUAUUUUGAGAUAAAUAUAUAUCUCUUUUUAAAUUAUAUUGUCUACUUACGAGAAUGCCGAACAAAUGGUCCAAUGAGUCAUUAGGUAACUCAGUAAAAGCCAAAAAUUAUUAUUAUUAUUAUUAUUAUUAUUAUUAUUAUUAUUACUAUUAUUACUAUUAUGUAAAUCCAAAGGAUAAGUAUAUAUUGUAUUAGCGAAUAGAUUCUACGUCAUUGUUUUUACUGUAAUAAUGUUAUCAAGAAUAAGUUAUUAUUUCAUCCUGAUUACAGUAACAAGAAGCCAGAUGUGAAAUAAAGAGACUUCGUUUAAGAUGAACCCUUAAACUUUGACUUAAAUAUUACAACUUAAAUUUGCUUAUGAGACCCCUAAAUUGUCCUGGUGAAAAAUAAAUAAUUUUCUUGUAUCCUCAA
This is a long non-coding RNA of Belonocnema kinseyi, 1070 nucleotides long. RefSeq lists it as uncharacterized. The transcript has 2 exons. Lineage: Eukaryota; Metazoa; Arthropoda; Insecta; Hymenoptera; Cynipidae. The record is from RefSeq and is a predicted model, not a curated record.